RNAcentral lists this ribosomal RNA (131 nucleotides) under Russula sp. RNAcentral describes it as "partial large subunit ribosomal RNA". It matches the Rfam family "Eukaryotic large subunit ribosomal RNA", at positions 99 to 227 of the family's 3401-position model. Lineage: Eukaryota; Fungi; Basidiomycota; Agaricomycetes; Russulales; Russulaceae. The record is from RNAcentral.
CGGGAAAAGCUCAAAUUUAAAAUCUGGUGGCCUUUGGCCAUCCGAGUUGUAAUUUAGAGAAGCGUCUUCCGCGCUGGACCGUGCACAAGUCUCCUGGAAUGGAGCGUCAUAGAGGGUGAGAGUCCCGUCUU